AAUCGCCAAUCUUCAAUAAAACAAAAUAGAAUAAAAUAAAAUAAUUAAUGGAGUAAGUAGCAUAAAUAGCGGAUGACUAUUAAAUACCCUAGAAGUUAGUGGAUGUAACAGUAGUUUCAAUUCAGUCCGUACUUGAUCUAGGUGUAGAGUUUUUCCAGGUUGUGUUCCAGGGUGAGAGGUGAGGCAAGCAGCAUAAAGCCGGUAUGAAGAGGGGAGAUAGCCGUCCAGUACGAGGGCGAAGUUAUCCAAUUAUUGUCUAACCAGGGAGCAACUUUGCUUCACCAAGUGAGCGAGUGAGAAGCAGAACGAGAGAGCACUAGCUAGUUAGAAUACUCGUAUUCGAGGGAAGGCCAGAGCCAGAGCCAGAGCCAGAGUCUACGAGAGAUUUACUCUACCCUACAUCCCAUCAGCAUUCUGGUACCACCCCUAGCGACAAUAAACUCUCAAGUUUGUCUCCAGCACUUGUUUCGUCCCACCAGUCUGCCAUUAAUACUCUUCUCGUGUCGCUGCACUCUCUCUCCAGAGUUUACGUAAAGACGGGAAAGUAGGUAAGCACACCAACUAUAUAACGGCCACCAAAUAGCCGUAGGGAGAUGAAUAAUAGUGAUGACUAUCCGUGGUUUAAUGUCUUUGAGAGGUUGUCUCAGGUAUUUAAUUAAUGAUUAAUAAUACUGAAGUUAGCUGUCAAUUUUACAAUUUUUUACAAUAAUUUGAACAAGUUUUAUCCAAGGACCUUAAGUAUAAUUUACAUUGUUAGUAUAAUAUAAAUAAAUAAAAAUUUAUACAAAGAAAAAAAUAUUUUA
Long non-coding RNA from Cotesia glomerata, 803 nucleotides. RefSeq lists it as uncharacterized. The record is from RefSeq and is a predicted model, not a curated record. Lineage: Eukaryota; Metazoa; Arthropoda; Insecta; Hymenoptera; Braconidae. The transcript has 3 exons.